This is a long non-coding RNA of Pieris napi, 859 nucleotides long. RefSeq lists it as uncharacterized. The transcript has 2 exons. Lineage: Eukaryota; Metazoa; Arthropoda; Insecta; Lepidoptera; Pieridae. The record is from RefSeq and is a predicted model, not a curated record.
UUUUUGUAGUGAAAGAAGGUGGGAAGGGAUACGCAAGAAAAGGUAUGGCUAAUGGGUGCUUAAACUUACGUAUUUUUCGCUUAUUUUAUCUACUUAAUUGCAAAUACAUUCGUACAGAUAUCGACCGAGGUAGACCCUGUGUUGUGACAAAUUAUGAAGAGGAUGUAAAGAAAUUGUUUAAAAAUAUUUUUUUGUAGCACCACAGGAUAUCUAUCAGCUGAUUACAGCUGAUACCGCGCUAAAUGUUUAAGAAUUAUAAACAGAUCUAUCUGCCCUGCCCUAAGUUUUAUAUUUGACUUCUAUUUUCGGAGGAUUAUCAAAGAGCCUGCUUGUUUUCCAAGUAGUGAAUUUCAUUUAAGUAUCUCUUACUUAAUGUAUUGUUUCAAUUUUGUAUAUAAAGUGAAAAUUAAAUAGUUUUUGUGUUAAUUAGCCAUUUGAAACAUGCAUUCCACUAUUUUUAUUGUUUUACUUAUCUUUGGAUAUUAUAAUCACGUCCAAGCCACACUCCCAGGCGCUGCGUUCAUAGGAUAUGGAUAUGAAAUGCCAGACUAUCAAAUGGGUUUCCAGCCACGAAAUACUUUCUACGCGAUAAACGAACCAUUUUAUGAAUUAUCAAGUGCCUACUCCGAACAAAGGCCAUACGAACAUGUCACAUCUGAUACCUGUAAUUUGAAUAUUGUAUCUCCUUUAUGUGGAUGUCAAUAUCCGCUCACCGAAACCGGAUUUCCGCCUUUUACCAUCUACGGAGAUGAAGCUACAAAUGUUCCGGGUUGUGGUAAAUAUUUGAGACAAGUUACGCUACAGCCGCCGUAUCUUUAGUGAAUUAAACGUGUUUGUUCAAUAAAGUUUCUACUAUUUC